AACCAACAAUUUUUACUGAUGUCAAGGAGUAUAUGCAGAUAGCGCAAGAUGAGAUAUUUGGUCCUGUGAUGGCUCUCAUGAAAUUUAAGACAAUUGAGGAAGCAAUAGAGAAGGCAAAUGCAACAAAGUAUGGGCUAGGAGCAGGGAUCAUAACGAAGGACUUGAAUACAGCAAACCGAGUCUCGCGAUCAAUUCGUGCAGGCACUAUCUGGAUCAACUGUUACUUUGCCUACGAUGCAGAUAGCCCCUUUGGUGGGUACAAGAUGAGUGGAUUUGGGAGGGA
Molecule: unclassified non-coding RNA, 283 nt
Filed under: Hevea brasiliensis (rubber tree)
Lineage: Eukaryota; Viridiplantae; Streptophyta; Magnoliopsida; Malpighiales; Euphorbiaceae
Source: RNAcentral